This 22-nucleotide microRNA is filed under the name Mus musculus (house mouse). RNAcentral's name for it is "mmu-miR-6346". The record is from miRBase by way of RNAcentral. Lineage: Eukaryota; Metazoa; Chordata; Mammalia; Rodentia; Muridae.
UAGCAGGUGUCUGCAAUGCCAA